RNAcentral lists this long non-coding RNA (2276 nucleotides) under Olea europaea subsp. europaea. The record is from RNAcentral. Lineage: Eukaryota; Viridiplantae; Streptophyta; Magnoliopsida; Lamiales; Oleaceae.
CUCUAAUUGAUACCAAAAAAUUCCCCAAUGGCAUUGUAUUAAUCAACGCCACAAGUCCUUCACUCAUUGAAAUCUCCAAAAAUCACCACGUUCUACGUUUCGUUUAAAGAAACCCUCAAUUCAUAUUCAAUCAAUAUUUUCGAAACUGGAGUUUCACAAAACCUUAUUUCUCGUCCAUUUUCCAAUUAUUCUCACAUUAUCUUGGGUGAUUCUAGGGAUUUAUUGUCAAUAUAAAGCUGUGAGGUUGCUAUUCUUCUCCAAAAAACCUCACAAUACUAGUUUAUAUUCAAAUCAAGGUUGAAGCACUAAUUGAUUUCUGCAUAUUCGAGUUACUGCUCAGAAAUGGAUACGAACAAUGAAAGAUGCCAUGUGAAAAUGAUUUCUCAAUCUCAAGAACCAGCCGUCGACUAUCAAGUACAUACGGGACAUGAAGAAUACACCCAUAACGAAAACCAGUACUAAGAGUCAAGAGACGUAUAGACGUUGUUGAUUCUACAUAGAACAAGAAAAAGAUGGUGCAACAACACGAACCAAGGGCGAGUUUUUUAUUGAUUUAUUUAUUUUUCACAUUCCCCUUUUUUCUGAUUUUCCAUGUCACCUCUUUUUCAAAAUUAUGACACCUUGUACUUAUCGAUUGGUAUUCAAGAUGUGAAAUGUAUUCGUUUAUUUAGGUUGUGAGCAUAUUUUACAUUGUGCACAUAUGGUCAAUGUAAUGUUACCCCCACAUAUAUCAUAUGUUCGGAUAUAGGAUUCCAGAUUGCACUUUCCAUGAGGAUAUGAAAUAACUGCAGUUCAAGAUUCACUAAAUAUCAUUUUUAAGUUAACAUGGUUUGUAAGGAUCGUAAAAAAUUGAUUCUGUUGAAUCUAUUCGUAACAAUGAAUUGAAUAAGUUGCCUUUGCAUUUUAAAGUCCUAUUCAAUUUGCAAAGAGAGGCCCUAACGAGGACAGGACUAGCUACUUUCUUUAAGGUGCAACCUUUUCUGUCCAUGUCCAUCUCAGAGCCUAUCCCAUCACGGGGAAGGUCCCAUAGUCAGUAGCUCGAUUCUUUUGAUUUUUUCUUCAUAGUAAACUGAUGGGGAGAUGCGGAGCACUAGGUCGAAUUACCAUAUGCUUCUUGCUUUUCGCGAGCAAGAAGCGCCAACUUACUAUGUUGCUUAUUGUUCUUUGAGAUGCUCCUCCCCGUCGAUCAAGGAUUUUGAUUCUCGUGAUAGGCUUAGCUUUAAGCCGUUAGCGUUCGGUUCGGAUAAGUCAAGUCUCUUCGGUUGUUGCGCUCAGGUGGUCUUCUCUUAUCUUCCCUUACGUUCAGAGUUGUUCUGGUUUGAGAUGAGAAAGGAGCACCGGCCGAGCGCCAUGAAUGAAUAAGAAAUUGACAGCAGAGAGAAUCAAUGAUUCUUAUUCGACUGAGUUCUAGCUCGCAACAUGUCGAUUACAUAAAUUUGCAUGCUAUUAUCAUUCUUUUGAGCUUGAAAAUCAGCUCUUGUGAUCUGCUGGUGCUUCUGGGACUAGUCCAGCAGAUCAUUGCCAGAUACUAAAACAAAUGACUAGAUUUCAAAUUGUGUAUUUGGUUUUAAAUAUCAGAUUUAACGUUUCAACUAAAUUUGUUGUCUACGUAUGAUACGAUUUGAACAUUGCACUCAUCAUAUUUGAUAUGUGUUAGUGUCUAUUAUUUGCUUGACUAUUACAUGUGUGUAUCCAUUGGUUAUAUUAAUAGUAUUGAAUUGAUACCCUGCGGUUUAUAACUUUUCUUCUGAUUUGAUUCAGCCACCACUGCAAUUCAUAAGUGAUCAUGUUGAUCAUAAACCAAAAAGUACACUCCAUGACAGAAAACUUUGAUGCAAAGAGAUCAAGAAGCUACUUUGCUGCACAACUUUACAAAGGAUUGGGUUUGGACCUUUCCUGCGCAGCUUAGAUGGAAGGCGAAGAAGGCCUCCUUCCGAGGGGAUUCUGACUUGGCUCCACAAAGCGUGAGGGGAAGGAAGAGCAAGGAAGGGAACAUGACACCCAGUUUUAGUGGUAGCUUAUGUUAGUUUAGGCAUAUAUAUUUCAAUCAUUUUCUCUAAAAACAUUGUCAUUGUACACAGGUUUAAGCUAUUUUGUGGUGUACGAACUAUGUCAUUUUGAUUGGGAAAUGUCGGUGAAAUUUGACAUUGAUUUCAUGACGCUAUGGAAGGAUGGUCGUUUAUUUUGGUGUCACUGUAAUUGAUGUUUGUCCAAGUAGUGUUGUUAACUCAUCGAUCCAAAAUCAUCGGCGGGAAAUUUUAUUAAUAUAUCAUGUG